UAAAGAGACAAAAGACCACGAUCAAACUCUUUGCCAAUAAAAGGGCCAGUCUUCAAAAGAAAAGACAUAGCAUACAACAGUCAGGGGUUCACAUAUGCUUGACUUGCUCAAAAGUACCACGGC
This is a non-coding RNA of Salvelinus sp. IW2-2015, 123 nucleotides long. The record is from RefSeq and is a predicted model, not a curated record. Lineage: Eukaryota; Metazoa; Chordata; Actinopteri; Salmoniformes; Salmonidae.